Molecule: long non-coding RNA, 750 nt
Filed under: Mytilus galloprovincialis (Mediterranean mussel)
Lineage: Eukaryota; Metazoa; Mollusca; Bivalvia; Mytilida; Mytilidae
Source: RNAcentral
CUUUGUUUGUAGUGUUAGAUGCCAACCCCCUUUUGACACAAUCAGUAACAAACUAUCAAAUUUUCCGUAUUUUUGAAAAGUUUUCAGUAAUCAUUCAUAAACGUGCAUUUACCAAUAAAAAUUACUGACGAGUGGUUGCAAAGUGAUGUACACUAAAAUUUGUCAUUUAACAUGUUGUCUGUAGUAUGUAUUCCGUUCAUUGAUUGUUCAGAUGUUCUCGACUCAAACAUUUUUGUUUUGUCAAGGAGAAGUAGAGAAAGGGGGAAAGCUACUUAAUAAAAUGCAAGUUUGCCUCUUCGGAAGUCAGUUAGUUACCCAACAAUAGGUUGAUAACUCCCGAGAAACCGGAAGCAUUACAUUUGGCGUUUCCUAAAUACUGGACCAGGACGGAAAAGUAAUGAUAAAAAUCCGCGUUUUACAAAAUUGAACGUCGAUGAUUGGGAAUCCGUAACUAUUCGACUUUGACCGUAAUAGCGUAGUUUUUAUCGCAAAAUCGGAAAAACUACGGAAAAAUCGUAAUGGUUGGCAUCUAUGAACUGUGUACAUUAUUAAAACCGUUAUUUUUCUCGUUUGCAUUAAAUUGUUAAACAUCUGUCAUUUCGGGGGUAUCUUUCGUCCCUCUUUUAUAGCUGAUUAUGCGGGGGCUUUUAUGAUUAUUGAAGGCAUUAUGAUGACCUAUAGCUGUCAAUUUCUGUGUCAAUUAGUUUCUUGGCAAUCAUAAUACAUAUAUAUAUACAUAUAUAUAGCGAC